UUUGGUCAAAGCUUCCAAAGGAAGCUUUGACUCUGAUUUUUUUAGGCCAAGACCGACCUUAUCCUUUCCCCCAGUAGAUUUUUCUUCUUCUUCAUCCAUGCUCCAUGCCAUUCUUGAAGCUUCCAUGACAUUUUCUCUUUAUCCACCAUGAAAUCAAGUUUUCUUCACUUUCCUUUCCAUGUUUUCUUUUUCUUUCUUCUCCAAACUUCUUGAGCAUUAAAUUUACAGCCUUUAACCCCAAUUUCCAACACACCAAAACCCUAGGAGGAGAAGAAAGAAAAAGAGAGAAAGGAAGAAAAAGCUUGGUUUUGGUGAUUCAAGCAAGAAACGGUAAGAAUUCUUGUUCUUGGCUUGAGUAGUCUUUGAAAAUGAGUUAGUGACUUAGAGAAAUGUCUUGUGGUAACAUGUAAGCCAAUAAACCCAUGGGUACAUGAAGGACUCAAAGUGAAAAAGGAAAACGGUAAGCUUAACACUAUGUUUUAAAGCCUACAAUUAGUUGAAUAUUGUGAGGAAUUGUGGUUGUUGAAAGGAUUUAUUUGCCUAAGCUAGUUAAAAAUUAUUAAGAUUGUAUGGCAUGUCGUUUGAAAGAAAUGAAAAAGGAAUAUUGUGGAUGUAGGAUUGAGAAACAAAGUAUUGAAAGUUAGAUAGAUAACAAUGCAUGUAAACUAGGAAAUAAUCGAGUGAAAGUGAGAAUGAUUGUUACUGCCAUAUAUGUGGAUUAUGUGAAAUAUAAGAUGGAUUUGGGUGGAAAUUAUUUAAAAAGGUUGAAGUAGACACGUGCAUCAUAAUUAAGUACCCAGUGAUAUAAUUUAAGGAAUUACGUAAGCAAUGGAUAUAUGUAAUUUUAGUAAAAAUGUAUCUAGAUGUGAGUUAAUUGAAGAUGGUUUCAUGAAAGGAUGAAAACUAUAAAUUUGAGUAAGGAUUAAUUGAUUGAAGUGCUGCCCGUAUACGUAUAUAAUUAAAUAUACUGAGUUUGUAUCAUUGUUAGGAAGUGCAAAGAUAAGGUUAGAGUACUAUGGCGGCAUGCCGAAGGGAAUAAGGAGCAAUCGACAAGUAGAAAUAGCUAGAUACACCUUUGAGCUAAUAGCGAUGUAACAUCCUACUAUCGUAACGUGAGUGAACUUGCACUAAAAUGUUUUGGGUAGAUGUACAUAUGUUCGAUUCAAUUACUUGAACUGUUUAAAUUGUCUUUUCUGCAAAAUGCUUGGGAACAAGCUUUUAGUGAAAUGUCUUUGUGAUGAGGAACAUGAUUG
Molecule: long non-coding RNA, 1253 nt
Filed under: Theobroma cacao (cacao)
Lineage: Eukaryota; Viridiplantae; Streptophyta; Magnoliopsida; Malvales; Malvaceae
Description: long non-coding RNA (TCAC_LNC003876)
Source: RNAcentral